UACGGGGGGAGCAAGCGUUGUUCGGAUUUACUGGGCGUAAAGGGCGCGUAGGCGGCCACCGCAAGUCGAUUGUGAAAUCUCCGGGCUUAACCCGGAAAGGUCAACCGAUACUGCGGGGCUAGAGUGCAGAAGGGGCAACUGGAAUUCUCGGUGUAGCGGUGAAAUGCGUAGAUAUCGAGAGGAACACCUGCGGCGAAGGCGGAUCUCUGGGCAGUUCCUGACACUGAGGCACGAAGGCCAGGGGAGCAAACGGG
Molecule: ribosomal RNA, 254 nt
Filed under: uncultured bacterium
Lineage: Bacteria
Description: partial 16S ribosomal RNA
Rfam family: Bacterial small subunit ribosomal RNA
Source: RNAcentral